This 1134-nucleotide long non-coding RNA is filed under the name Falco tinnunculus (common kestrel). Its description in RNAcentral is "lncRNA (ENSFTIG00000000630.1)". The record is from RNAcentral. Lineage: Eukaryota; Metazoa; Chordata; Aves; Falconiformes; Falconidae.
CAGCACCCCCACCCCACACCCCAGGCGAGGCCAGGCGAGCCAGGGACACCCCCUCCCCCGCAAUGCUGUUGUGCCGAGGGCAGCCCCCAGCCUCACGGGGCGGGGCGAGGUGAGGCCUACGCGCCCCCCGGCCCCCCAAGGGCCCCCUCACCAUGGUUCCAGGCCGGGCUCAGAGCGCUCCAACCUGCGGCAGAAACAACCCAAAAUGGCGUCAGCGCAAUCCCAACGCCCAACAACCGCCUCUCACCAUCGGCCUCCCCGCGCCCAACCCGCGCCCCCCCCCCCCCNNNNNNNNNNNNNNNNNNNNGCUCACGGACCGGAAGCGCGCGCGCACUUCCGCACCCGGCUCUUAGCCCCGCCCCCUCGGGCGCCGCUACGGCUGGCGCGGAGGGACACUCCGCACCGCAUCGCGCUCGCGGACGCCGCUCCUGUGAUGAGUUAGCGGGGUCUCAGCCUCCUCCGCACCGUAACGGGGGGUAUGCGGGGUGCACCGGGCAGCGUCGGCCGCCCCGAUCGCUCCGUGCACCGCCGCGAAGGAGGGGCACGGCCGUGUGGGCGGGCUGUUUGCAUCCUCUGAGCCCCAGCGUGUCUUGGGGGGCCCUGCAUCCUCCGAGCCCCAGCACCAGGGCCCCCCAAGACACGCUGGGGCUCGAUGGCUCGGGUAGAGCUGUAAUGGAGCAGCUCUGCCACAAGAGAGAGCUUCAGCCACGCUCAAAACCCCAAAACCACCCCAACCUCCUGCAAGAAUCCUUGGGGAGGGGUGGGAAGGCAAGGGACCCCGUCCUGUCCCUACGCCCCCUCGGUCCCUCUUGCCCUGUCCCCAUCACCCUGUGCCCUUCACCCUGUCCCCAUCGCCCUGUUGCUCAUCACCCUGUGCCCAUUGCCUGUCCUUGUCACCCUGUCCCCAUCACCCUGCCCCAUCACCCGGAGCCCACCUAUGCCCAUCACCCUGUCCCCAUUGCCCUGUGCCCAUCCCUCUGUCCACAUCACCAUGUGCUCAUCACCCUGUGCCCAUCGUCCUGUCCCCUUCACCUUGUGCCCUUUACCCUGUCCCCAUCAUCCUGUGCCCACCUGUGCCCUUCACCCUGUCCCCGUCACCCUGCAUCCCACAGCCCUCACACCCAGGCACACUGA